GCCGGGCCGGCCGCCGAGAUACGGCCCGGCCACAGGAGUCGUUGCGAUGAUGCGGAGUAUACGGAGCUAUUUGUGACCGCGUCCCGUCUUCUUCGUACGGCCGCUCACCCCCCGUCCAGACCCGUGGCCUAAAUGGGGAGCCGAUGGGAUACGGACUGCGAGCUGGAUGCGCUCAGACCCGUUCCCAAAGGAGGGGACGACGGCACUAGGCUGUUACUUCAGCGGCACAGUAAAACGAUAACGUGCACUUCGGGGCAAAAAACAAAGUUAUCGUGACCCACCCUCUGCACUGAAACAAAACUCAAGGAUUCUUACGUAAAUCCAACUCCGCUUUCGAUGACACGCAUCCAUAUAAAUAGAAUCUAAUUGUAUUUCACGUAAAACGCUCGUCUUCGCACUGUAAACCAACCAUAAACACAUAAGCAAGCACAGUGCACUUGUCAGCUGCAGGCUUCCUGUAAAAAGAUGACUAAUAAGCCGACUGUUUAAUAGCAAUCAACACUGUAUUCAAAACUCUGACUUGUCUUUAAAUGAAGAAGGAAAAUGUUCUGUUUUUACAGGUUGUUAAGUAUCCUCUGUUUUACGUUUGAUGUAUUGCAGUGAUUUGAAAUAAAGAAAUUGUCAGUAUUUAUA
This is a long non-coding RNA of Coturnix japonica (Japanese quail), 633 nucleotides long. RefSeq lists it as uncharacterized. The record is from RefSeq and is a predicted model, not a curated record. NCBI's taxonomy places the organism in Eukaryota, Metazoa, Chordata, Aves, Galliformes, Phasianidae.